CCUACGGGUUGCAGCAGUGGGGAAUAUUGCACAAUGGGCGCAAGCCUGACGCAGCCAUGCCGCGUGUAUGAAGAAGGCCUUCGGGUUGUAAAGUACUUUCAGCGGGGAGGAAGGCGAUAAGGUUAAUAACCUUGUCGAUUGACGUUACCCGCAGAAGAAGCACCGGCUAACUCCGUGCCAGCAGCCGCGGUAAUACGGAGGGUGCAAGCGUUAAUCGGAAUCACUGGGCGUAAAGCGCACGCAGGCGGUCUGUCAAGUCGGAUGUGAAAUCCCCGGACUCAACCUGGGAACUGCAUUCGAAACUGGCAGGCUGGAGUCUUGUAGAGGGGGGUAGAAUUCCAGGCGUAGCGGUGAAAUGCGUAGAGAUCUGGAGGAAUACCGGUGGCGAAGGCGGCCCCCUGGACAAAGACUGACGCUCAGGUGCGAAAGCGUGGGGAGCAAACAGGAUUAGAUACCCCGGUAGUC
RNAcentral lists this ribosomal RNA (465 nucleotides) under uncultured bacterium. Its description in RNAcentral is "bacterial SSU rRNA". It matches the Rfam family "Bacterial small subunit ribosomal RNA", at positions 338 to 795 of the family's 1533-position model. The record is from RNAcentral.